GGGCCGCCUCCUCCGCGGGAGGCCCGCGGCGCCCGCUCCGUGUGAGGCGGCGGGGCCCGGCCGCGCCUCCCGGCCCGAGCGGAGCCCCGCGGGCGCUGUCGCAGCCCGGUGUUUUACCCGUGCUUCGCUCCCUCCGCGGAGGGAGCAGCUCGCGAGGAGCGGGAGCGGCGCGGGGUGUCAGGAAAAGGAAGGGGUCGCUGAGUGUUCCAGGGCGAAAACUUCACUGUAGCUGAUGAGUAUUUGUUGACCCGUGAAGAAUUCUGUAGUAAAACUGAAAAAGAAAACUUUUGCCAGCAGCCACUGUGUUGGGAACACAGAACGAUGGAAAAAAGAAAACCUUGGCUGUCAGUGUAGGCCUGUGUACCUGAUGGCGCGUCCUACAGAGAGCAGAUCUGAAAGGCAAGAUUCACUUGAAUAUCUUCAAGCAGUCGGUUUCAGGGUACCUGCAGAGAAUGCUGGCCUUGGAUUUUCACUGAGCUGGUGCUUAGUACUGGUGGUAGAGGAGAGCUUUGGCCUCCUCUCCCAACACAUUCAUCCCUGGCCCAAUGCUGAUGGGCAGUGCUGUGCUUGCCAGAAGGUUUGGUCUUCCCAGUUGUGUCAGUUUGUCAGCCUAAGUGACUUUGUCAUCACCCAGCACCUCCUGAUGAUGAACAGCAGCUAAUGCCCUUGUGAAUAAAUUCACCACUGAAAGCUAAAUCUCUGGAAAU
This 707-nucleotide long non-coding RNA is filed under the name Anser cygnoides (Swan goose). RNAcentral describes it as "lncRNA (ENSACDG00005013204.1)". The record is from RNAcentral. Lineage: Eukaryota; Metazoa; Chordata; Aves; Anseriformes; Anatidae.